GAGCCCGCGUCCCAUUAGCUUGUUGGUAAGGUAAUGGCCUACCAAGGCGACGAUGCGUAGCCGGCCUGAGAGGGUGAACGGCCACACUGGCACUGAGAUAAGGGCCAGUCUCCUACGGGAGCCAGCAGUCUAGAAAUUUGCACAAAUGCCGAAAGGCGGAUGCAGCGACACCACGUGGAGGAUGAAGCCCCUCGGGGUGUAAACUCCUGUCAGAAGGGAAGAAGGCGCGGGCGUUAAUACCGCUCGUUGCUUGACGGUACCUUCAGAGGAGGCUCCGGCUAACUACGUGCCAGCAGCCGCGGUAAUACAUAGGGAGCGAGCGUUGUUCGGAUUUACUGGGCGUAAAGGGCACGUAGGCGGGUAUGCAAGUCGGUUGUGAAAUCCUCUGGCUCAACCAGAGAACCGCAGCCGAAACUGCACACCUAGAGUCCAGGAAAGGGAAUCGGAAUCCCAGGUGUAGCGGAGGUAUGCGUAGAUAUCUGGUAUAACAUCACUGGCGAAAGCGGAUUCCUGGGCUGGUACUGACGCUGAGGUGCGAAAGCUAAGGGAGCAAACUGGAUUAGAUACCCUGGUAGUCUUAGCCGUAAACGAUGGACACUAUGUGCCGGGG
This 610-nucleotide ribosomal RNA is filed under the name uncultured bacterium. RNAcentral describes it as "bacterial SSU rRNA". It matches the Rfam family "Bacterial small subunit ribosomal RNA", at positions 227 to 828 of the family's 1533-position model. The record is from RNAcentral.